Non-coding RNA from Aedes aegypti (yellow fever mosquito), 102 nucleotides. NCBI's taxonomy places the organism in Eukaryota, Metazoa, Arthropoda, Insecta, Diptera, Culicidae. The record is from Rfam.
UGCCCAGUAACUCCUAUCCCUACCUCCCCGUGGUGCCGCCUGUGGUACAAGUAACCGUAGAGAAGAUCGGGUGGGACCUUGGUCGUAUGCUGACAGGGAAGG